This 1143-nucleotide long non-coding RNA is filed under the name Oryctolagus cuniculus (rabbit). Its description in RNAcentral is "lncRNA (ENSOCUG00000039500.1)". Lineage: Eukaryota; Metazoa; Chordata; Mammalia; Lagomorpha; Leporidae. The record is from RNAcentral.
GCUGAGCCUCGGUUUCCUGAUGGGUAACGGGAAGGGCCGCCUUCCCCAGGGCCGGCCGUUCCACGCCACACUCCCCACCCCCGGCCUGGAGUAGACGUCUUUGCGUGUAACCCGAAGAAUCCGCGUGUAUGAUGUAGGUGAAACACUGUUAGAGACACCCUGCCAUGUUCUCCAUUGUAAACCCCUGCGCACAGGUGCAGUCACUCACAGGAGCAGCGUGGAGGGGCGGCGCUUCCCGCAGGGGCCGCUUAAGGAGGAGCUUGUGCCGGCUGCUUCUGCUCUGGCUUCCGGGGCCUGCACACCGCCGGGUCCCCGCGCCUUGGCUGCUGUCUGGGCUCUGACUCCGGCUUUGGCCCGCGCUCACCCUGGGAGCAGCAGCUACCCAGAAUGUGACCUACAAAGAGCUUGGCUCCAACUCUCCCUUGACAUGCUCGUGCAGAAACACAGGCUUGGAUCUUCUCUAAAGAAAAGUAGCAGCAUGAAGAGUUCCAGGCAGUGGUGGAAAUGAAGUACCUUCCCCUCACAGGUACACUUUACAAACCAGUACCAACUGACUAGAUCUGUUGAAGAAUCAUCCUUACUCAUUAUUUUCUUGAAAGAAAAUAAUCAUAUACAUUUUGCCUGCUUAUUUCAGGCCUAGUGCUGUUAACUGUUAGCAGGAAAUGUUUGAAAUCAAAGACAUCAAUAACACAAUCAUGAAUGCACUCACGUUCACAUGGAAGGUGAGAAUGCAGCCCUCUUAUCUGAGCUGUAUGUGCUAUGCAGCUUCUAGGGAGAAAAUUCUCAUUACAGCCUCACUCUUCAUGUCUUCAUACAGCAGGGCUGGGGAACCUUUUUUCAGCAAAGGGCCAUUUGAAUAAUUACAACAUCAUUCAUGGAUCAUACAAAAUUAUCAACUUAUAGAUUAGCCUGCUAUAGAUUUGCUGAAGUUCAUGUCCUGCUUGCAGUUGCCUUGGCAGAGCCAGACCAAAUUAUUUUAUGGGCUAGACAUUCCCCACCCUUUAUAUUGAUUCAAUUCCUUAUAGUUGUAAGCAGAAGAUUCUAACUUUGUUACAAAAUACUUAACAUAUUCUUUAAAAUCCAUUGGUUAAAACAUGUACCAUCCCCACAAUAAAGAAACUUAAUCAUGAUUUAGAUAGCUCA